UGGGGAAUUUUGGACAAUGGGGGAAACCCUGAUCCAGCCAUCCCGCGUGUGCGAUGAAGGCCUUCGGGUUGUAAAGCACUUUUGGCAGGAAAGAAACGUCAUGGGUUAAUACCCCGUGAAACUGACGGUACCUGCAGAAUAAGCACCGGCUAACUACGUGCCAGCAGCCGCGGUAAUACGUAGGGUGCAAGCGUUAAUCGGAAUUACUGGGCGUAAAGCGUGCCCAGGCGGUUCGGAAAGAAAGAUGUGAAAUCCCAGAGCUCAACUUUGGAACUGCAUUUUUAACUACCGGGCUAGAGUGUGUCAGAGGGAGGUGGAAUUCCGCGUGUAGCAGUGAAAUGCGUAGAUAUGCGGAGGAACACCGAUGGCGAAGGCAGCCUCCUGGGAUAACACUGACGCUCAUGCACGAAAGCGUGGGGAGCAAACAGG
RNAcentral lists this ribosomal RNA (429 nucleotides) under Acidobacteriota bacterium. RNAcentral describes it as "Acidobacteria bacterium partial 16S ribosomal RNA". It matches the Rfam family "Bacterial small subunit ribosomal RNA", at positions 355 to 776 of the family's 1533-position model. Lineage: Bacteria; Pseudomonadati; Acidobacteriota. The record is from RNAcentral.